RNAcentral lists this transfer RNA (72 nucleotides) under Camelus bactrianus (Bactrian camel). It matches the Rfam family "tRNA". From Rfam's summary of the family: Transfer RNA (tRNA) molecules are approximately 80 nucleotides in length. RNAcentral also lists the same sequence under 2 other names. Lineage: Eukaryota; Metazoa; Chordata; Mammalia; Artiodactyla; Camelidae. The record is from Rfam by way of RNAcentral.
GAAGAUUUAGCUUAGUGGUAGAGCUCAUGCUUAGCGUGCAUGAGGUCCUGGGUUCAAUCCUCAAUACUUUCA